UGCCACCUCAGCUUCCUCCCACGUAGAACGGGAAAAGCGUUAUUCAUCUCCUGGGCGGCUCUGCAGCUCCGUGAGAUGGCGCCUGCACCACCCCCCCGGCCGACCUGGGGCUGCAGCGGGCGCUGUCUCUGCAUCCGGCUCGGCCGCACCGUCGGGAGCACGCGUGGGCGCUGCCCUUCCGUGGCCCUUGGCCACGUGCUGCCCACCACCACCCUUCCACCAGCAAAUGGGAACGGCAGUGGCGCCCAGGUGGAGGAGAGCGGCGCUCCACCCAAAGGGUCAUGCAGCGAGGCGGCCCACAUCCUGGGUUCUGGAGCAAAACGCGUGAUCACUGGCGAAUUGCUUCACUUCUGGAGACUUGUGUGGUUGGGCAGAUGCGGAAAGCAAUCCCUACCUCACAGCGCCGAGACAUUAAGCAACAUGUGCUGUGGACAGCUGUGCUGAACAGAGUCAACUUCUGAGCAAGAGCCCCAGAUGGUGAGGACAGCUGAGUCAGCCGACCAUACUCAGGACCAUAGAAAAUGGGGUACAGCGACACACCCAGUGCCAGGGGACCGGAAGAGAAAGGACGGCCAUGCGUGAGCCCCCAGGACACUUCCCCGGAACUCAGCAGCAGCCAUUUGCGCACUGAGCAACAGGGAUGAGAAAGGCUGCGGGCAGUGAGCAGAUAUGGGCGCUACGUUCUUCUGUGCCUCGCCAGAUCUUCAACGUUGUUCAGUAUCCUUUUCUGAUCUUUCGCCGGGCUCUCGGAGCUGGACUCAGUGGCCGGAUUGAUAUACAUGAUUUAUUCACUAUUGCCAGAGUCAGGAAGUUCAUUUUUUCUUCUAUAUUUCAUUGCUAGUUAGGCCAAAUCCAUUCCUGAAAGGCCUUUAAUUAGUUCCUCAACACCUACUCAGCAGUGUGAAACUAGGCACUAGGAUACAUUAUAGAAGUGUGAUUUAUAAGCCUUUGGGAAGGUAAGGCUCUCCCCUAGAAAUGUUGACUACCAGCCUCCUUUGCCUCAUUGACAAAGUACAGGUAGGCUAAUAAAAUCGGACACUGCCUGAGUCACAAAAAUAUUUCUGUGUAUCUUAGAAAACCAACAUUUUUUUUCUAGCCUGUAGAUUAAGAACUGUAAGACCAGGAUAUGUUUUUAAAAUAAAAAGACCCAAUUCAAUGAUUUUAAUAUGAAUAUCUUUAUUGAAUCACAUCAUUUUAAAUUUGUAAAUCCAGAAGUUUCUAUAUAGUGUUAUAAAUGAUUUUGAUUGUACGUAUGGGAAGUGUUCAGAAAGUUUUAAUAACCACUUUGGAUUUGUUCCUUCCUGUUUUUUUUAUAGAUCUCUAGAAAUGUAUGAUCGUAAGUCAAAUUCUAGCAUCAGAAAAGAAGAGUUGCCUUAAUUUAUCUUUGAUGAUGGACCCAUCCUCUGUAUUCGACUCAUCAUCGUGGGCAGUCCUGGCAGAGUCUACUUGUUCAUGAGACUAACGCCCAAUCCCGACGAUGAGUGGUGUCGCUUGCUCAGAAGUGCCAAGUGUCCAGGCGUGGCCAAUCACGAAGUCACUAACCCACUUUAAAGGUGAGUUGCAAGACACAACCCACAGGGUCUGUUUUCCUGCCUGGAAGAUAGAAGGAUCAUGUUAAGUCAGUGGUUGUAGCAACAAAAGGGCACACCCUUGGGACCUCCACGUCCCAUCCAGGGUGAUUAGAAUUUAAAACUAUGGAUCCUGGGGCACUUGCACGGCUCAGUCAGUCGAGUGUCCAACAUUUGAUUUAGGCUCUGGUCAUAAUCAGGGGGUCAUGAG
Ailuropoda melanoleuca (giant panda) is the source of this 1779-nucleotide long non-coding RNA. RefSeq lists it as uncharacterized. Lineage: Eukaryota; Metazoa; Chordata; Mammalia; Carnivora; Ursidae. The transcript is spliced from 5 exons. The record is from RefSeq and is a predicted model, not a curated record.